RNAcentral lists this ribosomal RNA (409 nucleotides) under uncultured Enterobacter sp. Its description in RNAcentral is "bacterial SSU rRNA". It matches the Rfam family "Bacterial small subunit ribosomal RNA", at positions 65 to 470 of the family's 1533-position model. Lineage: Bacteria; Pseudomonadati; Pseudomonadota; Gammaproteobacteria; Enterobacterales; Enterobacteriaceae. The record is from RNAcentral.
AACGGUAACAGGAAGCAGCUUGCUGCUUCGCUGACGAGUGGCGGACGGGUGAGUAAUGUCUGGGAAACUGCCUGAUGGAGGGGGAUAACUACUGGAAACGGUAGCUAAUACCGCAUAACGUCGCAAGACCAAAGAGGGGGACCUUCGGGCCUCUUGCCAUCGGAUGUGCCCAGAUGGGAUUAGCUAGUAGGUGGGGUAACGGCUCACCUAGGCGACGAUCCCUAGCUGGUCUGAGAGGAUGACCAGCCACACUGGAACUGAGACACGGUCCAGACUCCUACGGGAGGCAGCAGUGGGGAAUACUGCACAAUGGGCGCAAGCCUGAUGCAGCCAUGCCGCGUGUAUGAAGAAGGCCUUCGGGUUGUAAAGUACUUUCAGCGGGGAGGAAGGUGUUGAGGUUAAUAACCUC